Molecule: transfer RNA, 75 nt
Filed under: Bifidobacterium choerinum
Lineage: Bacteria; Bacillati; Actinomycetota; Actinomycetes; Bifidobacteriales; Bifidobacteriaceae
Also listed under: 2 other names
Description: tRNA-Val
Rfam family: tRNA
About the family: Transfer RNA (tRNA) molecules are approximately 80 nucleotides in length.
Source: RNAcentral
GGGCGGUUGGCGCAGUGGUAGCGCACUUCCCUGACACGGAAGGGGUCACAAGUUCGAAUCUUGUAUCGCCCACAA